UGACCACAAGUUCAACGGCCGCGGUAUUUUGACCGUGCAAAGGUAGCGCAAUCACUUGUCUUUUAAAUAGAGACCUGUAUGAAUGGCUAAACGAGGGCUUAACUGUCUCCCUUUUCAGGUCAGUGAAAUUGAUCUACCCGUGCAGAAGCGGGUAUAACAAUACAAGACGAGAAGACCCUUUGGAGCUUAAGGUACAAAACUCAACCACGUCAAGCAACUUAAUAAAAAAUAAAAACUUUGUGAAACAUGAGAUUUUACCUUCGGUUGGGGCGACCGCGGAGGAAAAAAAAGCCUCCAAGUGGACCGGGACAAACUCCUAAAACCAAGAGAAACAUCUCUAAGCCACAGAACAUCUGACCAAACAUGAUCCGGCCACCAGGACCGAUCAACGAACCAAGUUACCCUAGGGAUAACAGCGCAAUCCCCUCCCAGAGUCCAUAUCGACGAGGGGGUUUACGACCUCGAUGUUGGAUCAGGACAUCCUAAUGGUGCAGCCGCUAUUAAGGGUUCGUUUGUUCAACGAUUAAAGUCCUACGUGAUC
RNAcentral lists this ribosomal RNA (541 nucleotides) under Tor tambroides (Thai mahseer). Its description in RNAcentral is "partial 16S ribosomal RNA". It matches the Rfam family "Bacterial large subunit ribosomal RNA", at positions 1913 to 2605 of the family's 2925-position model. Lineage: Eukaryota; Metazoa; Chordata; Actinopteri; Cypriniformes; Cyprinidae. The record is from RNAcentral.